Long non-coding RNA from Dermacentor andersoni, 1234 nucleotides. RefSeq lists it as uncharacterized. The record is from RefSeq and is a predicted model, not a curated record. NCBI's taxonomy places the organism in Eukaryota, Metazoa, Arthropoda, Arachnida, Ixodida, Ixodidae.
CGCGCGAGAGCACACGUUAUAAGUUACACGAGACGAGUCCCAUGCGCCAGUCGUUUCAAAUCGCUUAUUGGGCGCCGGCGGGAAAGAAGUGCGCAUGCAGCCGUGCGGCCUAAUGGCGAAGAGCGUCGGGCUGUUGUUGUGCAGCUGGAAGAAAUGGCUUCGACCCCACCAUCGUGGACGGAAACCAAAGAGUCCCGGAUAAAAGGUGCUUCUUUGCACCUGACUACGUCUGGGAGCCCAUACAAACUGUACGCGUAUCACAAGAGCGCUCUACAAAUCAGGUACGAAUUUCAAUUUCUACUGAUUUGAAAUUCGAAGAAUGGCCUACGCAAAGCGGAGAACGCGCAGCGUAUUUUGCGACUUCUUAUCGCGCGCGCGCCCUGGCGACAGGCUUUGGCCAUACGGCGACGGCGAAAGUUUAUAAACUUAGCGAGAGGCACGCCACAUAUGCGCUCAUGAAAAAGCGGCGUGUCACAUACAAACUCUGGAUACUCCGUCCUUGCGGUAAAUACACAGGUCUCUUUUUCUUUCUUUAAUGACCGCGUGCGUAGCCUACGAUGAUGUCAAUGGCAAUGCUAUCACUUCUCUCUCGCGCGCUAGUUGCGGCACGGAGCAAUGUGGGUCGAGCAUGUGGGUAAAGGCACCUGACGCACGCGAAGCGUAGGCAAUGAAAGAAUAAUCGAAAGACCUGGAACGUCAGAAAUGAUUUAUAAAGCCGCUGUGUCGUAUACUGGAAGUGCAGGUCAGAGUACCUCGCAGAAGAAAGACAAAAAAAGAACAUUUUACUGACGCCACUAAAUCGAAUGCAAACUUGUUUACUUAAUCCGCAUUAUAUUUUCGUCUGGAAUCUCGCAAACUACAGCACGCACAGGCAAGAAAAGAAGAAAGAAAGAAAAUCAAAGCAGACGACAUGCUCAAAGCUUAUCAUGUGCGCUAUUAUUUAUAUUUAUUGUUUUUUUUUACUUAUGCGGAUCCCAUCCUCUGCAGUAGUCAGCGCUGCUCUUUUAAUAUGAAAUAUGCACCUUCUAUAUGGUUGUGCCACUUGUUGUGCACUCAGGUUUAGAAAGCAGCGCAGCGCUGUACUUAAAUCAAUGUGAUUACGUCAAAGGGGGCAUCGCGUCAUCCUACUGCUGCGAAAGCGGUCACGUCUGAAACAUCUGUCGCGCGGUGACCGAUACGACAUACGGGCAGCGCUCGCAAAGAACAACAGCCCAUGGAAAGAAAGAAAAGAAAA